GACGAACGCUGGCGGCGUGCUUAACACAUGCAAGUCGAACGGUAAGGCCCUUCGGGGUACACGAGUGGCGAACGGGUGAGUAACACGUGGGUGAUCUGCCCUGCACUUCGGGAUAAGCCUGGGAAACUGGGUCUAAUACCGGAUAGGACCACUGCCUGCAUGGGUGGUGGUGGAAAGCUUUUGCGGUGUGGGAUGGGCCCGCGGCCUAUCGGCUUGUUGGUGGGGUGAUGGCCUACCAAGGCGACGACGGGUAGCCGGCCUGAGAGGGUGACCGGCCACACUGGGAGUGAGAUACGGCCCAGACUCCUACGGGAGGCAGCAGUGGGGAAUAUUGCACAAUGGGCGCAAGCCUGAUUCAGCGACGCCGCGUGAGGGAUGACGGCCUUCGGGUUGUAAACCUCUUUCAGCACCGACGAAGCGCAAGUGACGGUAGGUGCAGAAGAAGGACCGGCCAACUACGUGCCAGCCGCCGCAGUAA
Molecule: ribosomal RNA, 478 nt
Filed under: uncultured bacterium
Lineage: Bacteria
Description: partial 16S ribosomal RNA
Rfam family: Bacterial small subunit ribosomal RNA
Source: RNAcentral